This 71-nucleotide transfer RNA is filed under the name Streptomyces lomondensis. Its description in RNAcentral is "tRNA-Val". Lineage: Bacteria; Bacillati; Actinomycetota; Actinomycetes; Kitasatosporales; Streptomycetaceae. The record is from RNAcentral.
GUGGCUGGUGGCUGAGGUGGGGCGGUGAACUGACGGUUCGUCCGCUCCUGUUCGAUUCGGUGGGGCCGUUC